GAUGAACGCUGGCGGCGUGCCUAAUACAUGCAAGUCGAGCGAACAGACGAGGAGCUUGCUCCUCUGACGUUAGCGGCGGACGGGUGAGUAACACGUGGAUAACCUACCUAUAAGACUGGGAUAACUUCGGGAAACCGGAGCUAAUACCGGAUAAUAUAUUGAACCGCAUGGUUCAAUAGUGAAAGACGGUUUUGCUGUCACUUAUAGAUGGAUCCGCGCCGCAUUAGCUAGUUGGUAAGGUAACGGCUUACCAAGGCGACGAUGCGUAGCCGACCUGAGAGGGGGAUCGGCCACACUGGAACUGAGACACGGUCCAGACUCCGACGGGAGGCAGCAGUAGGGAAUCUUCCGCAAUGGGCGAAAGCCUGACGGAGCAACGCCGCGUGAGUGAUGAAGGUCUUCGGAUCGUAAAACUCUGUUAUUAGGGAAGAACAAAUGUGUAAGUAACUAUGCACGUCUUGACGGUACCGAAGCAGAAAGCCACGGCUAACUACGU
This 496-nucleotide ribosomal RNA is filed under the name uncultured bacterium. Its description in RNAcentral is "partial 16S ribosomal RNA". It matches the Rfam family "Bacterial small subunit ribosomal RNA", at positions 28 to 506 of the family's 1533-position model. The record is from RNAcentral.